Molecule: ribosomal RNA, 396 nt
Filed under: uncultured bacterium
Lineage: Bacteria
Description: partial 16S ribosomal RNA
Rfam family: Bacterial small subunit ribosomal RNA
Source: RNAcentral
CUACGUAGGUGGCAAGCGUUGUCCGGAUUUACUGGGUGUAAAGGGUGUGUAGGCGGAGAUGCAAGUCAGGAGUGAAAUCUAGGGGCUCAACCCCUAAACUGCUUUUGAAACUGUAUCCCUUGAGUAUCGGAGAGGCAGGCGGAAUUCCUAGUGUAGCGGUGAAAUGCGUAGAGAUUAGGAGGAAAACCAGUGGCGAAGGCGGCCUGCUGGACGACAACUGACGCUGAGGCGCGAAAGCGUGGGGAGCAAACAGGAUUAGAUGCCCUGAUAGUCCACGCUGUAAACGAUGAAUACUAGGUGUGGGGGGACUGACCCCCUCCGUGCCGCAGUUAACACAAUAAGUAUUCCACCUGGGGAGUACGAUCGCAAGAUUGAAACUCAAAUGAAUUGACGGGG